This 613-nucleotide ribosomal RNA is filed under the name Candida tropicalis. RNAcentral describes it as "LSU rRNA". It matches the Rfam family "Eukaryotic large subunit ribosomal RNA", at positions 38 to 667 of the family's 3401-position model. The record is from RNAcentral. Lineage: Eukaryota; Fungi; Ascomycota; Pichiomycetes; Serinales; Debaryomycetaceae.
GCAUAUCAAUAAGCGGAGGAAAAGAAACCAACAGGGAUUGCCUUAGUAGCGGCGAGUGAAGCGGCAAAAGCUCAAAUUUGAAAUCUGGCUCUUUCAGAGUCCGAGUUGUAAUUUGAAGAAGGUAUCUUUGGGUCUGGCUCUUGUCUAUGUUUCUUGGAACAGAACGUCACAGAGGGUGAGAAUCCCGUGCGAUGAGAUGAUCCAGGCCUAUGUAAAGUUCCUUCGAAGAGUCGAGUUGUUUGGGAAUGCAGCUCUAAGUGGGUGGUAAAUUCCAUCUAAAGCUAAAUAUUGGCGAGAGACCGAUAGCGAACAAGUACAGUGAUGGAAAGAUGAAAAGAACUUUGAAAAGAGAGUGAAAAAGUACGUGAAAUUGUUGAAAGGGAAGGGCUUGAGAUCAGACUUGGUAUUUUGUAUGUUACUUCUUCGGGGGUGGCCUCUACAGUUUAUCGGGCCAGCAUCAGUUUGGGCGGUAGGAGAAUUGCGUUGGAAUGUGGCACGGCNUNGGUUGUGUGUUAUAGCCUUCGUCGAUACUGCCAGCCUAGACUGAGGACUGCGGUUUAUACCUAGGAUGUUGGCAUAAUGAUCUUAAGUCGCCCGUCUUGAAACACGGACC